RNAcentral lists this ribosomal RNA (253 nucleotides) under uncultured bacterium. RNAcentral's name for it is "partial 16S ribosomal RNA". It matches the Rfam family "Bacterial small subunit ribosomal RNA", at positions 524 to 776 of the family's 1533-position model. The record is from RNAcentral.
UACGAAGGGGGCUAGCGUUGCUCGGAAUCACUGGGUGUAAAGCGCACGUAGGCGGAUUGUUAAGUCAGGGGUGAAAUCCUGGAGCUCAACUCCAGAACUGCCUUUGAUACUGGCGAUCUUGAGUCCGGGAGAGGUGAGUGGAACUGCGAGUGUAGAGGUGAAAUUCGUAGAUAUUCGCAAGAACACCAGUGGCGAAGGCGGCUCACUGGCCCGGUACUGACGCUGAGGUGCGAAAGCGUGGGGAGCAAACAGG